AAACCAGUCAGCCCUGUUAUAACACUGUUUUCAGCAGAGGAUUCACCUUCAGAUAAAGAAGAGACACCGAGGACAACCUGCGCACACCAGACUCUAACAAACUCAGUGGGAUUCCCUCUUUUCACUCAGGUCAUAACAGCCUUAGGACAACAAUGCCCCUACACACUGUGAUUGUUGCGGCGGCGGCGUUUGGAGCUGUGGGAUUUCUGUUUCUACGCAAUAUGAAAUAUCAAGGGCAUAAAAACAGGCAGCCACAAAACAACUUACCAGGUUCUGAGCAUAAAAACAAGGAGCCACAAAACAACCGACCAGAUUUUGAGCACGGACGCGCCAAUGAGAAACACCCUAAUAAAAAAUACAAUUAGAGGCCUUGCUCCGGUUUCAUCACACAACCUCUACAGAGUUUGGAAUCAAGAUGAAUGACGAUUAAUCAUUUUGACAAAGAAGUCUUCAGAUGUGUGUUUUUAUAAUCAAAUAAUCAUACCUGUCACCAGUAACAUAAAUGAGUAAUCUGUUUUCUGAC
This is a long non-coding RNA of Boleophthalmus pectinirostris (great blue-spotted mudskipper), 523 nucleotides long. RefSeq lists it as uncharacterized. Lineage: Eukaryota; Metazoa; Chordata; Actinopteri; Gobiiformes; Gobiidae. The record is from RefSeq and is a predicted model, not a curated record. The transcript is spliced from 3 exons.